Molecule: ribosomal RNA, 246 nt
Filed under: uncultured bacterium
Lineage: Bacteria
Description: partial 16S ribosomal RNA
Rfam family: Bacterial small subunit ribosomal RNA
Source: RNAcentral
UGAUCAUGGCUCAGGAUGAACGCUGGCGGCAUGCUUAACGCAUGCAAGUCGAACGGGAAGUGGUGUUUCCAGUGGCGAACGGGUGAGUAACGCGUAAGAACCUGCCCUUGGGAGGGGAACAACAACUGGAAACGGUUGCUAAUACCCCGUAGGCUGAGGAGCAAAAGGAGAAAUCCGCCCAAGGAGGGGCUCGCGUCUGAUUAGCUAGUUGGUGAGGCAAUAGCUUACCAAGGCGAUGAUCAGUAG